RNAcentral lists this ribosomal RNA (1335 nucleotides) under Triticum aestivum (bread wheat). Its description in RNAcentral is "partial small subunit ribosomal RNA". The record is from RNAcentral. Lineage: Eukaryota; Viridiplantae; Streptophyta; Magnoliopsida; Poales; Poaceae.
AUGGAGAUCACGGCUUCCACCCUUCUGCUGCUUAUGGCUAGCGUGCUGGUCCAUGUCCUGCCUACGAUCUGCGCGACGGUAGGUGGCUUCAGCCUCCCACUGGUCGCCAACCACGGCGGGGGCACGUACCGGGUGGACAAUGACGGCGUCGUGGUCGUGAACACCACGAACUUCCACCACCGUUCCUCCGUGACGGGCCCCCUGGAGUAUAUGUACGGCGUGGCUGUGGGCGUCGGCACGGGCCAUGGCAAGGGUGCCUACUUCCUCGUGCUGGACACGGCCAGCAGCCUGACGUGGAUGCGGUGCCUGCACUGCUUGCCGGAGCAAUCACAAUACGGCUCGGUGUUCGACCCUGGCCACUCGGGCAGUUACCGCCCUCUCCAAUCGACGAGCCCCCUGUGCCGGCCUCCCAACCCGGUCCACCCCGCCGGCCACAAGUGUUCCUUCCACCUCCCACACGGGUUCGUCGGCGUCGACACCAUCAUUCUGGGUAAUCCGACUUUGCCUAUCCACGGCAUCGCCUUCGGGUGCGCGCAGGCCACCGAGGCGUUCCACACCAAAGGCACAUUCGCAGGCACACUGGGCAUGGGUCGGCUGCCUACGUCCCUCAUCAUGCAAAUCAAAGACUGUGUCGCCUGGCGCUUCUCUUACUGUCUGAUCGGCCAAGGUCACAGCCAGGACCGGCACGGCUUCAUUCGCUUCGGCGCCGACAUCCCGGAGCCCCUACCUCUAGGCCACCAUCGCAUCAAGAUCCUUCCUACGCCACCACACCUCCCACAUGGCGUCGCCGACUCGGCUUACUACGUGAAGCUUCUGGGCGUGAGCCUCAAUGGGUCCCCGAUCCCGGGCAUCCACCAGAAUAUGUUCGAGCGGCGACACGACGGGUCAGGCGGAUGCUUCGUGGACAUCGGCAUACAGGUGACCCAUCUGGUGUGGGCCGCAUACACGCUCGUCGAGAAUGCGGUGGCCGGUGUGCUGCAGCAGUGGGGGUACGAGCGCGUGCAUGACCACAACUUCCGCCUGUGUUUCCGGCAGAAGCCCGCGAUCUGGUCACGUAUCCCAAGGCUGACGCUCGACUUUGAGGGUCCGACUACUCGGCACGGGGAGCGCACACGCGCACACCUUGAAAUCCGCUCACGGGGCCUCUUCUUCAAUGUUGACAACGAGCAGUUGUUGUGCUUUGGCGUGUACCCCACAACCAUGGGCCAUACGACGGUCAUCGGAGCUAUGCAGCAGGUGGAUACGCGAUUUAUUUUUUACCUCAGGGCCAACACCAUCACCAUCCACCCGGAGAGCUGUGAGGAUGACACCGUGCCCACCCCGUCCGAGUGGUGA